Small nucleolar RNA from Lemur catta (Ring-tailed lemur), 103 nucleotides. RefSeq annotates it as small nucleolar RNA U13. The record is from RefSeq and is a predicted model, not a curated record. The transcript has a single exon. Lineage: Eukaryota; Metazoa; Chordata; Mammalia; Primates; Lemuridae.
GUUCUUUGGUAGUUCAUAAGUGUGAUGACUGGGUUUUCACGCUCAUAUGUGAGAUGUGCCUCCCUCAAACCCUGUUACAAGUUGGCAUAUUGCCCAUCUGACA